This 393-nucleotide ribosomal RNA is filed under the name uncultured bacterium. Its description in RNAcentral is "bacterial SSU rRNA". It matches the Rfam family "Bacterial small subunit ribosomal RNA", at positions 8 to 403 of the family's 1533-position model. The record is from RNAcentral.
AGAGUUUGAUCCUGGCUCAGAUUGAACGCUGGCGGCAUGCUUUACACAUGCAAGUCGAACGGUAACAGGGAGCUUGCUCCGCUGACGAGUGGCGAACGGGUGAGUAAUGCGUCGGAACGUGCCGAGUAGUGGGGGAUAACGCAUCGAAAGGUGUGCUAAUACCGCAUACGUACUGAGGUAGAAAGUGGGGGACCUUCGGGCCUCACGCUAUUCGAGCGGCCGACGUCUGAUUAGCUAGUUGGUGAGGUAAAGGCUCACCAAGGCGACGAUCAGUAGCGGGUCUGAGAGGAUGAUCCGCCACACUGGGACUGAGGCACGGCCCAGACUCCUACGGGAGGCAGCAGUGGGGAAUUUUGGACAAUGGGCGCAAGCCUGAUCCAGCCAUGCCGCGUG